RNAcentral lists this ribosomal RNA (414 nucleotides) under uncultured microorganism. RNAcentral describes it as "bacterial SSU rRNA". It matches the Rfam family "Archaeal small subunit ribosomal RNA", at positions 459 to 872 of the family's 1478-position model. The record is from RNAcentral.
CAGCCGCCGCGGUAAUACCGGCGGCCCGAGUGGCGGUCACUAUUAUUGGGCUUAAAGCGUCCGUAGCCGGGUUGGGAAGUCCUCCGGGAAAUCUGGCCGCUUAACGGUCAGAAUGCCGGAGGAUACUCCCAGCCUAGGGAGCGGGAGAGGCCGAGGGGAUUCCCGGAGUAGGGGGGAAAUCCUAUAAUCCCGGGAGGACCACCUGUGGCGAAGGCGCUCGGCUGGAACGCGUCCGACGGUGAGGGACGAAGGCCAGGGGAGCAAACCGGAUUAGAUACCCGGGUAGUCCUGGCUGUAAACGAUGCGGACUUUGUGUCGGACAAGCUAUGAGCUUGUCCGGUGCCGGAGGGAAACCGUUAAGUCCGCCGCCUGGGGAGUACGGCCGCAAGGUUGAAACUUAAAGGAAUUGGCGGG